AAUAGAUACCCCGGUAGUCCACGCCGUAAACGGUGGCACUAGAUGUGGGGCGUCUUUCCAUGAGUUCCGCGUCGCAGCUAACGCAUUAAGUGCCCCGCCUGGGGAGUACGGCCGCAAGGCUAAAACUCAAAGGAAUUGACGGGGGCCCGCACAAGCGGCGGAGCAUGCGGAUUAAUUCGAUGCAACGCGAAGAACCUUACCAAGGCUUGACAUAUACGGUCUAUCCCUAGAGAUAGGGAGUGCUUCGACGCCGUAUACAGGUGGUGCAUGGUUGUCGUCAGCUCGUGUCGUGAGAUGUUGGGUUAAGUCCCGCAACGAGCGCAACCCUCGUCCUAUGUUGCCCAGCGGAUAAUGCCGGGGACUCAUGGGAGACUGCCGGGGUCAACUCGGAGGAAGGUGGGGAUGGAGGUCAAAUCAUCAUGCCCCCUUAUGUCUUGGGCUUCACGCAUGCUACAAUGGCCGGUACAAAGGGCUGCAAUACCGGCGAGGUGGAGCGAAUCCCAAAAAGCCGGUCUCAGUUCGGA
This 524-nucleotide ribosomal RNA is filed under the name uncultured bacterium. Its description in RNAcentral is "bacterial SSU rRNA". It matches the Rfam family "Bacterial small subunit ribosomal RNA", at positions 777 to 1297 of the family's 1533-position model. The record is from RNAcentral.